UACGGGGGAUGCAAGCGUUAUCCGGAAUCAUUGGGCGUAAAGCGCCUGUAGGUGGUUUAUUAAGUCUGUUGUUAAAGACUAGGGCUUAACCCUGGGAAAGCAAUGGAAACUAAUAGACUUGAGUAUGAUAGGGGUAGAGGGAAUUUCUAGUGUAGCGGUGAAAUGCGUAGAUAUUAGAAAGAACACCGGUGGCGAAGGCGCUCUACUGGAUCAUUACUGACACUCAGAGGCGAAAGCUAAGGUAGCAAAAGGGAUUAGAUACCCCUGUAGUCUUAGCCGUAAACGAUGGAUACUAGAUGUUACAUUCUUAUGUAGUGUCGUAGCUAACGCGUUAAGUAUCCCGCCUGGGGAGUACGCUCGCAAGGGUG
RNAcentral lists this ribosomal RNA (368 nucleotides) under uncultured phototrophic eukaryote. Its description in RNAcentral is "SSU rRNA". It matches the Rfam family "Bacterial small subunit ribosomal RNA", at positions 524 to 896 of the family's 1533-position model. The record is from RNAcentral.